RNAcentral lists this ribosomal RNA (377 nucleotides) under uncultured eukaryote. RNAcentral describes it as "bacterial SSU rRNA". It matches the Rfam family "Eukaryotic small subunit ribosomal RNA", at positions 592 to 1018 of the family's 1831-position model. The record is from RNAcentral.
UAAUAGCGUAUAUUAACGUUGUUGAUGUUAAAAGCUCGUAGUUGAAGGUCCGGCCUUAGGGUCUGUCUGGGAGGCUGUUGGAUUGGGUAAAACCAUUCUUUCAGUUGAAUAGACUUUUACUGUGAACAAAAUAGAGUGCUCAAAGCAAGCGAUAGCUUGAAUAUCUUAGCAUGGAAUAAUAGAAUAUGACUUUAUUCACUAUGUUGGUUUUUGUAAUAGAGUAAUGGUUAACAGGAACAGUUGGGGGCAUUUGUAUUUAAUAGUCAGAGGUGAAAUUCUUAGAUUUAUUAAAGACAAACUAAUGCGAAGGCAUUUGCCAAGGAUGUUUUCAUUAAUCAAGAACGAAAGUUAGGGGAUCGAAGACGAUUAGAUACCAU